ACCGGGCACGGUGGUGCAUGCCUGUAGUCCCAGCUACUUGGAAGGCUGAGGUGGGAGGAUCGCUUGAGCCCAGGAGUUCUGGUCUGUAGUGCGCUAUGCCAAUCGAGUGUCCACACUAAGUUUGGCAUCAAUAUGGUGACCUUUUGGGAGCGGGGAACCACCAGGUUGCCUAAGGAGGGGUGAACCAGCCCAGGUCGGAAACGGAGCAGGUCAAAACUCCCAUGCUGAUCAGUGGUGGGAUCCCGCCUGUGAAUAGCCACUGCACUCCAGCCUGGGCAACAUAGUAAGACCCCGUUUCU
This 299-nucleotide signal recognition particle RNA is filed under the name Aotus nancymaae (Ma's night monkey). RNAcentral describes it as "Metazoan signal recognition particle RNA (ENSANAG00000005474.1)". It matches the Rfam family "Metazoan signal recognition particle RNA". From Rfam's summary of the family: The signal recognition particle (SRP) is a universally conserved ribonucleoprotein. It is involved in the co-translational targeting of proteins to membranes. The record is from RNAcentral. Lineage: Eukaryota; Metazoa; Chordata; Mammalia; Primates; Aotidae.